GACGAACGCUGGCGGCGUGCCUAAUACAUGCAAGUAGAACGCUGAAGGAGGAGCUUGCUUCUCUGGAUGAGUUGCGAACGGGUGAGUAACGCGUAGGUAACCUGCCUGGUAGCGGGGGAUAACUAUUGGAAACGAUAGCUAAUACCGCAUAAGAGUAGAUGUCGCAUGACAUUUGCUUAAAAGGUGCAAUUGCAUCACUACCAGAUGGACCUGCGUUGUAUUAGCUAGUUGGUGAGGUAACGGCUCACCAAGGCAACGAUACAUAGCCGACCUGAGAGGGUGAUCGGCCACACUGGGACUGAGACACGGUCCAGACUCCUACGGGAGGCAGCAGUAGGGAAUCUUCGGCAAUGGACGGAAGUCUGACCGAGCAACGCCGCGUGAGUGAAGAAGGUUUUCGGAUCGUAAAGCUCUGUUGUAAGAGAAGAACGAGUGUGAGAGUGGAAAGUUCACACUGUGACGGUAUCUUACCAGAAAGAGACGGCUAACUACGUG
Molecule: ribosomal RNA, 495 nt
Filed under: uncultured bacterium
Lineage: Bacteria
Description: partial 16S ribosomal RNA
Rfam family: Bacterial small subunit ribosomal RNA
Source: RNAcentral